GUCUAUGGCCAUGCCACCCUGAACAAGCCCAAUGUCUGAUCUUGGAAGCUAAGCAGGGUCAGGCCUGGUUAGUACUUAGAUGAGAGACCACCUAGGAAGACCAGGUGCUGUAGGUA
Molecule: ribosomal RNA, 116 nt
Filed under: Pteropus alecto (black flying fox)
Lineage: Eukaryota; Metazoa; Chordata; Mammalia; Chiroptera; Pteropodidae
Source: RNAcentral